GUUGUAUAGUUAAGUGACUAAGCGUACACGGUGGAUGCCUUGGCAAUCAGAGGCGAAGAAGGACGUGCUAAUCUGCGAAAAGCGUGGGGGAGCUGAUAAGGAGCGCAAAUCCCACGAUGUCCGAAUGGGGAAACCCGAUAGGUGAAGAAUCUAUCAUUGUUGUCUGAAUUCAUAGGGCAACAAGGCAAACCGGGAGAACUGAAACAUCUAAGUACCCCGAGGAAAAGAAAUCAACCGAGAUUCUGCGAGUAGCGGCGAGCGAAAGCGGAGGAGCCAGCGAGUGAUAGCAUAAGUUUUAGGAGAAUUGUCUGGGAAGGCAAGCGAGAGAGGGUGACAGCCCCGUAUCCGAAAAGACGGAUGUGGUACUAAGCUAGCGAGAAGUAGGGCGGGACACGAGGAAUCCUGUUUGAAGAAGGGGGGACCAUCCUCCAAGGCUAAAUACUCCUGAUUGACCGAUAGUGGACCAGUACCGUGAGGGAAAGGCGAAAAGAACCCCGGGAGGGGAGUGAAAGAGAACCUGAAACCGUGUACGUACAAGCAGUGGGAGCCCCAUCACUCAAUCGUAUUGAUUGAAGAGAGGGAGCGGAACUCAUCUCAUAAAGGUUAACAAUUUACGAAUGAAAUGAGUAAAUUGGUCAACCGAAAAAGAAGCAGUGGGAUUGAGUGAUGGGGUGACUGCGUACCUUUUGUAUAAUGGGUCAGCGACUUAUAUUUUGUAGCGAGGUUAACCGGAUAGGGGAGCCGAAGGGAAACCGAGUCUUAACUGGGCGGUUAGUUGCAAGAUAUAGACCCGAAACCCGGUGAUCUAGCCAUGGGCAGGAAGAAGGUUGGGUAACACUAACUGGAGGGCCGAACCGACUACUGUUGAAAAAGUAGCGGAUGACCUGUGGCUGGGGGUGAAAGGCCAAUCAAACCGGGAGAUAGCUGGUUCUCCCCGAAAUCUAUUUAGGUAGAGCCUUAUAUGAAUACCUUCGGGGGUAGAGCACUGUUUCGGCUAGGGGUCCAUCCCGGAUUACCAACCCGAUGCAAACUGCGAAUACCGAAGAGUAAUGUAUAGGAGACACACGGCGGGUGCUAACGUUCGUCGUGGAGAGGGAAACAACCCAGACCGCCAGCUAAGGUCCCAAAGUCUAUAUUAAGUGGGAAACGAAGUGGAAAGGCUUAGACAGCUAGGAUGUUGGCUUAGAAGCAGCCAUCAUUUAAAGAAAGCGUAAUAGCUCACUAGUCGAGUCGGUCUGCGCGGAAGAUGUAACGGGGCUAAAAUAUAGCACCGAAGCUGCGGCAUCA
Molecule: ribosomal RNA, 1287 nt
Filed under: Gallibacterium anatis 4895
Lineage: Bacteria; Pseudomonadati; Pseudomonadota; Gammaproteobacteria; Pasteurellales; Pasteurellaceae
Description: bacterial LSU rRNA
Rfam family: Bacterial large subunit ribosomal RNA
Source: RNAcentral